UUUCCCCGCAAGGGGAAACUGAGUGGCGAACGGGUGAGUAACACGUGGGUGACCUACCUUCGAGUGGGGGAUAACGUCCCGAAAGGGACGCUAAUACCGCAUAACAUCCUGUCCUUGAACGGAUGGAGAUCAAAGCCGGGGAUCGUAAGACCUGGCGCUUGAUGAGGGGCCCGCGUCCGAUUAGCUAGUUGGUGAGGUAAUGGCUCACCAAGGCAACGAUCGGUAGCCGGCCUGAGAGGGCGGACGGCCACACUGGGACUGAGACACGGCCCAGACUCCUACGGGAGGCAGCAGUGGGGAAUUGUUCGCAAUGGGCGCAAGCCUGACGACGCAACGCCGCGUGGAGGAUGAAGGUCUUCGGAUUGUAAACUCCUGUUGCUCGGGACGAAUGACUACGACCUAACACGUCGUAGUGUGACGGUACCGGGUGAGGAAGCCCCGGCUAACUCUGUGCCAGCAGCCGCGGUAAUACAGAGGGGGCAAGCGUUGUUCGGAAUUACUGGGCGUAAAGGGCGCGUAGGCGGCCUGUUAAGUCGAACGUGAAAUCCCCGGGCUCAACCCGGGAACUGCGUCCGAUACUGGCAGGCUUGAAUCCGGGAGAGGGAUGCGGAAUUCCAGGUGUAGCGGUGAAAUGCGUAGAUAUCUGGAGGAACACCGGUGGCGAAGGCGGCAUCCUGGACCGGCAUUGACGCUGAGGCGCGAAAGCCAGGGGAGCAAACGGGAUUAGAUACCCCGGUAGUCCUGGCCCUAAACGAUGAAUGCUUGGUGUGGCGGGUAUCGAUCCCUGCCGUGCCGAAGCUAACGCAUUAAGCA
This 813-nucleotide ribosomal RNA is filed under the name uncultured Bacillota bacterium. Its description in RNAcentral is "bacterial SSU rRNA". It matches the Rfam family "Bacterial small subunit ribosomal RNA", at positions 72 to 866 of the family's 1533-position model. Lineage: Bacteria; Bacillati; Bacillota. The record is from RNAcentral.